RNAcentral lists this ribosomal RNA (253 nucleotides) under uncultured bacterium. RNAcentral describes it as "partial 16S ribosomal RNA". It matches the Rfam family "Bacterial small subunit ribosomal RNA", at positions 524 to 776 of the family's 1533-position model. The record is from RNAcentral.
UACGUAGGGCGCAAGCGUUGUCCGGAAUUAUUGGGCGUAAAGAGCUCGUAGGCGGUCUGUCGCGUCGGAUGUGAAAGCCCGGGGCUUAACCCCGGGUCUGCAUUCGAUACGGGCAGGCUCGAGUUCGGUAGGGGAGACUGGAAUUCCUGGUGUAGCGGUGAAAUGCGCAGAUAUCAGGAGGAACACCGGUGGCGAAGGCGGGUCUCUGGGCCGAUACUGACGCUGAGGAGCGAAAGCGUGGGGAGCGAACAGG